GGCGGACGGGUGAGUAAUGCUUGGGAACAUGCCUUGAGGUGGGGGACAACAGUUGGAAACGACUGCUAAUACCGCAUAAUGUCUACGGACCAAAGGGGGCUUCGGCUCUCGCCUUUAGAUUGGCCCAAGUGGGAUUAGCUAGUUGGUGAGGUAAUGGCUCACCAAGGCGACGAUCCCUAGCUGGUUUGAGAGGAUGAACAGCCACACUGGGACUGAGACACGGCCCAGACUCCUACGGGAGGCAGCAGUGGGGAAUAUUGCACAAUGGGCGCAAGCCUGAUGCAGCCAUGCCGCGUGUGUGAAGAAGGCCUCCGGGUUGUAAAGCACUUUCAGUCAGGAGGAAAGGUUAGUAGUUAAUACCUGCUAGCUGUGACGUUACUGACAGAAGAAGCACCGGCUAACUCCGUGCCAGCAGCCGCGGUAAUACGGAGGGUGCGAGCGUUAAUCGGAAUUACUGGGCGUAAAGCGUAC
Molecule: ribosomal RNA, 471 nt
Filed under: uncultured Pseudoalteromonas sp.
Lineage: Bacteria; Pseudomonadati; Pseudomonadota; Gammaproteobacteria; Alteromonadales; Pseudoalteromonadaceae
Description: bacterial SSU rRNA
Rfam family: Bacterial small subunit ribosomal RNA
Source: RNAcentral